GAUGAACGCUGGCGGCGUGCCUAAUACAUGCAAGUCGAGCGAACAGACGAGGAGCUUGCUCCUCUGACGUUAGCGGCGGACGGGUGAGUAACACGUGGAUAACCUACCUAUAAGACUGGGAUAACUUCGGGAAACCGGAGCUAAUACCGGAUAAUAUAUUGAACCGCAUGGUUCAAUAGUGAAAGACGGUUUUGCUGUCACUUAUAGAUGGAUCCGCGCCGCAUUAGCUAGUUGGUAAGGUAACGGCUUACCAAGGCAACGAUGCGUAGCCGACCUGAGAGGGUGAUCGGCCACACUGGAACUGAGACACGGUCCAGACUCCUACGGGACGCAGCAGUAGGGAAUCUUCCGCAAUGGGCGAAAGCUUGACGGAGCAACGCCGCGUGAGUGAUGAAGGUCUUCGGAUCGUAAAACUCUGUUAUUAGGGAAGAACAACUGUGUACGUAACUAUGCACGUCUUGACGGUACCUAAUCAGAAAGCCACGGCUAACUACGUG
This 497-nucleotide ribosomal RNA is filed under the name uncultured bacterium. RNAcentral's name for it is "partial 16S ribosomal RNA". It matches the Rfam family "Bacterial small subunit ribosomal RNA", at positions 28 to 507 of the family's 1533-position model. The record is from RNAcentral.